Molecule: ribosomal RNA, 439 nt
Filed under: uncultured bacterium
Lineage: Bacteria
Description: partial 16S ribosomal RNA
Rfam family: Bacterial small subunit ribosomal RNA
Source: RNAcentral
CUACGGGGGGCUGCAGUGAGGAAUAUUGCACAAUGGGGGGAACCCUGAUGCAGCAACGCCGCGUGGAGGAUGACGCAUUUCGGUGUGUGAACUCCUUUUAUAUGUCAAGAAAAUGACGGUAGCAUAUGAAUAAGCACCGGCUAACUCCGUGCCAGCAGCCGCGGUAAUACGGAGGGUGCAAGCGUUACUCGGAAUCACUGGGCGUAAAGGACGCGUAGGCGGGUUGGAAAGUCAGGUGUGAAAUCCUACAGCUUAACUGUAGAACUGCACUUGAAACUUCUAAUCUAGAGUAUGGGAGGUGGAGAUGGAAUUAGUGGUGUAGGGGUAAAAUCCGUAGAUAUCACUAGGAAUACCUAAAGCGAAGGCGAUCUCCUGGAACAUUACUGACGCUAAGGCGUGAAAGCGUGGGGAGCAAACAGGAUUAGAUACCCGGGUAGUC